UGGGGAAUAUUGCACAAUGGGCGCAAGCCUGAUGCAGCCAUGCCGCGUGUGUGAAGAAGGCCUCGGGUUGUAAAGCACUUUCAGCGAGGAGGAAGGUGGUGAGCUUAAUACGCUCAUCAAUUGACGUUACUCGCAGAAGAAGCACCGGCUAACUCCGUGCCAGCAGCCGCGGUAAUACGGAGGGUGCAAGCGUUAAUCGGAAUUACUGGGCGUAAAGCGCACGCAGGCGGUUUGUUAAGUCAGAUGUGAAAUCCCCGGGCUCAACCUGGGAACUGCAUUUGAAAACUGGCAAGCUAGAGUCUCGUAGAGGGGGGUAGAAUUCCAGGUGUAGCGGUGAAAUGCGUAGAGAUCUGGAGGAAUACCGGUGGCGAAGGCGGCCCCCUGGACGAAGACUGACGCUCAGGUGCGAAAAGCGUGGGGAGCAAAACAGGAUUAGAUACCCUGGUAGUCCACGCUGUAAAACGAUGUCGAUUUUGGAGGUUGUGCCCUUGAGGCGUGGNUUCCGGAGCUAACG
Molecule: ribosomal RNA, 514 nt
Filed under: uncultured bacterium
Lineage: Bacteria
Description: partial 16S ribosomal RNA
Rfam family: Bacterial small subunit ribosomal RNA
Source: RNAcentral